CAAUACCUGAGUAAAGUGGCGCACGGGUGAGUAACACGUGACUAACCUACCCUGGAGUGGGGAUAACUGAGGGAAACCUUAGCUAAUACCGCAUAAUACCCACGGGUCAAAGGAGCAAUUCGCUCCAGGAGGGGGUCGCGGCCGAUUAGUUAGUUGGCGGGGUAAUGGCCCACCAAGACAGUGAUCGGUAUCCGGCCUGAGAGGGCGCACGGACACACUGGAACUGAAACACGGUCCAGACUCCUACGGGAGGCAACAGUGGGGAAUUUUGCGCAAUGGGGGAAACCCUGACGCAGCAACGCCGCGUGGAGGAUGAAGUACUUCGGUACGUAAACUCCUUUCGAUCGGGACGAUAAUGACGGUACCGGAAGAAGAAGCCCCGGCUAACUUCGUGCCAGCAGCCGCGGUAAUACGAGGGGGGCAA
This 424-nucleotide ribosomal RNA is filed under the name uncultured bacterium. Its description in RNAcentral is "bacterial SSU rRNA". It matches the Rfam family "Bacterial small subunit ribosomal RNA", at positions 80 to 537 of the family's 1533-position model. The record is from RNAcentral.